GAGGGCACCAAGCUGGCUAUUCCUGCAUGGUGUGUGAGAGUCAGCCAAGUCUAUCAGUGUCUCUGUUUUUCAUGUGGACACCUGACACAGAUACUAGAUGAAGGGAGAGAUGAUGUUUCCUUGCUUCACAGAGCUGAUCGGUAUUCCUCCUUCCCUGUACUCCUUAGUUGUCAUGAAUGGAAAAGUUGUGAAUGACAAAUUGACUGUGAACGGCAGGUGGCCAGAUGCAGUUCUGCUUAUUAAACCUGCAGAUGUGCUUCUACUGUUUGAUGAAGUGUCAGAGCCAUGGCGCUGUAACUCCUUCAGUGAGGAUCUUCUUAAGCCUUGUAACAACUUCACAACNGUGGUGAGAAAGUUGCAGAUGGGCUCCACCAUUAUUCAUUUGUCAUGCCUGACUGAAAGGUUCUCUCUGUCUUGAUGUGACCUCUUCACAUGGAAACAACCCAAAAUAAAAGAAAGAAAAGAGGAACA
Molecule: long non-coding RNA, 471 nt
Filed under: Salvator merianae (Argentine black and white tegu)
Lineage: Eukaryota; Metazoa; Chordata; Lepidosauria; Squamata; Teiidae
Description: lncRNA (ENSSMRG00000001046.1)
Source: RNAcentral